CGGCGUGUUCUCCGGGUCGGUGAACCUCAAGUACGUGAAGCUGGGGUACCAGUACCUGGUGAACCACUUCCUGACGCUGCUGCUGGUGCCGGUGAUGGCGGCGACGGCGCUGGAGCUGGCGCGCCUGGGCCCCGGCGAGCUGCUCACGCUGUGGCGGUCGCUGGAGCUCGACCUCGUCCACAUCCUCUGCUCCGCGUUCCUCGUCGUCUUCGUCGGCACCGUCUACGUCAUGUCGCGCCCGAGGCCCGUGUACCUGGUGGACUACUCCUGCUACAAGCCCCCCGCCAGCUGCCGGGUGCCCUUCGCCACCUUCAUGGAGCACACGCGCCUCAUCAGCGACGAUGAGAAGAGCGUGCGCUUCCAGACCAGGAUCCUCGAGCGCUCCGGGCUCGGGGAGGACACGUGCCUCCCGCCCGCCAACCACUACAUCCCGCCCAACCCCAGCAUGGAGGCAUCGCGCGCAGAGGCGCAGCUCGUCAUCUUCUCCGCCAUAGACGACCUCGUCCGACGCACGGGGCUCAAGCCCAAGGACAUCGACAUCCUCGUCGUCAACUGCAGCCUCUUCUCACCGACGCCCUCGCUCUCCGCCAUGAUCAUCAACAAGUACAAGCUCCGCAGCAACAUCCGCAGCUUCAACCUCUCCGGCAU
This 648-nucleotide long non-coding RNA is filed under the name Setaria italica (foxtail millet). Its description in RNAcentral is "long non-coding RNA (SITA_LNC007319)". Lineage: Eukaryota; Viridiplantae; Streptophyta; Magnoliopsida; Poales; Poaceae. The record is from RNAcentral.